GACAGAGGAUGCAAGCGUUAUCCGGAAUGAUUGGGCGUAAAGCGUCUGUAGGUGGCUUUUUAAGUCUGCCGUUAAAUCCCAGGGCUUAACCCUGGACAGGCGGUGGAAACUACCAAGCUGGAGUACGGUAGGGGCAGGGGGAAUUUCCGGUGGAGCGGUGAAAUGCGUAGAGAUCGGAAAGAACACCAACGGCGAAAGCACUCUGCUGGGCCGACACUGACACUGAGAGACGAAAGCUAGGGGAGCGAAUGGG
This 253-nucleotide ribosomal RNA is filed under the name uncultured bacterium. Its description in RNAcentral is "partial 16S ribosomal RNA". It matches the Rfam family "Bacterial small subunit ribosomal RNA", at positions 524 to 776 of the family's 1533-position model. The record is from RNAcentral.